CUCAAUAUGGAGCAAAUUUGAAUGUCGAACUGCAGCAACGAUCGGUUGAAUACUCACAGCUCUUUAGUGCAUUUAAUCACAUGAGAUCAGCCUUGUUAGAAAGGAUGCCAUCGGCAGAUGUUAAGGCGUCAGCUAGUGUCAAUGACACAAACGGAGCAUGAGAGUCUCUACCUACAGAAGCAAAUGGAGCAACUUUACCUGGUUUACAAGCAGCACCACUACCUAUUAAACCUGCAUCUCAAGAAGCCAGUCUUCUAGAUUUGUUGGGAUAUUCUGAAGCAGUAGCUGAACAGCCAGUGUCCAGUCAAGCUGGCAAUGAGCUGCUGGACAUCUUGGGAGGUCUGUCUGUAUCAGCACCAGCUGCAGUUCAGCCUGUGCAGUCUAAUGCUCCAUCUUCUGGCUCAGGCUAAAUGGAUUUAUUGGGUGGCGGAACCCCACCUUCA
This is a long non-coding RNA of Corticium candelabrum, 443 nucleotides long. RefSeq lists it as uncharacterized. NCBI's taxonomy places the organism in Eukaryota, Metazoa, Porifera, Homoscleromorpha, Homosclerophorida, Plakinidae. The record is from RefSeq and is a predicted model, not a curated record. The transcript is spliced from 5 exons.